CGUAGGUGGCAAGCGUUGUCCGGAUUUACUGGGCGUAAAGAGCGCGCAGGCGGUCGUUCAAGUCGAGUGUGAAAGCCCCCGGCUCAACUGGGGAGGGUCACUCGAUACUGAUCGACUCGAAGGCAGAAGAGGGAAGCGGAAUUCCCGGUGUAGUGGUGAAAUGCGUAGAUAUCGGGAGGAACACCAGUGGCGAAGGCGGCUUUCUGGUCUGCUCUUGACGCUGAGGCGCGAAAGCUAGGGUAGCAAACGGG
RNAcentral lists this ribosomal RNA (251 nucleotides) under uncultured bacterium. Its description in RNAcentral is "partial 16S ribosomal RNA". It matches the Rfam family "Bacterial small subunit ribosomal RNA", at positions 526 to 776 of the family's 1533-position model. The record is from RNAcentral.